Hypanus sabinus (Atlantic stingray) is the source of this 1256-nucleotide long non-coding RNA. RefSeq lists it as uncharacterized. The transcript is spliced from 3 exons. Lineage: Eukaryota; Metazoa; Chordata; Chondrichthyes; Myliobatiformes; Dasyatidae. The record is from RefSeq and is a predicted model, not a curated record.
ACUAUUACUAUAUUUUCAAAAUUCAGUUGUGGAACAAAGGGAUGGUCUGGAUCUGUAAAUAAGUCAAAGUAUUUAACAAUAACUCCACCUCAACAACAUCUGAAACCUGACAACUCUGAAACAUGUGGUGAAGAGGUCACGGCUAUUACACAAACUACCUGUGAAGAAUGCAACAAUCCAAUUAGAAGAUGCUUGUACAAUUCUAAAUGAAAAUUUGGGCUAUCACCCCCUAAUUGGAUGCACAAAUGCUGUGGUCCCAGUUCUCCAUCACUCCAUUAGUGUAUCACUGCGAGAUCGGUCCGGACAAUCUUUCAGAAAUUCACCACCAGCAUUAACACGUGCUUCACGUGGCUCCUACCUGGGCGUUUUGUGUAAAACUGGUAGAUCACUGAGGCUUCAGAUGAAUACAUUUUUACCCCAUUGUCAAAAAGUUGUGGCAAAGAAUAGCAUCAUUUAAUUUGGAAUUUAAGAAUAACUAACUUUAUCAAUGUGAAAUGAAUAAUAAAAAAUAUUGAAACAGAACAGGCUCCAGAGAUGCAUAGAUUAUCUUCAAACUAGAUGUCCUCAGUAUAACAUGUCAUAUCUAAUGGAGAAAGAAUUAUGAUAAACUUGCCAACUAUUACCUAAUAUGCAUUCUAAGUCAAUAUAUCCCCAUUCAUAACAUAUGGUUACAUAUACUAAUAAGGGGCACAUGUCAAGUUAAGGCUAACAUCUACAAUGAUUGAAAGCAUAAACUGCUCUCUGAAUGAAGAUCCUUCCAAUAUCCUCAGAACUCUAAACAAUCCCUCCUUGCACCCUUGCACUUACAUGUGCAUCGUUAUCUACACCCAGGGUACUUUUCACAGUUAGCUUACAAAGCCAUUAAAUAGUGGGAAGGAUUUUCUCUGACAGAUGCCACAAGGAAACCUAGGCUACCCUCGUGUGGCAAGCAAUGGAGUAACUUCUUGGGAAAAGGGAAGUAGCAAGGACAGGUUUAUUUAGACAUCGUCUUCCCCUUCCCUCACUCUCCAACCACACCCAUUAGCUCUCAGAUGAGAAGACUUCCCUGAGGAAGUGGUGCUGGCUGAAACCCGUAGUGCCUACCCGGGAUCUGUGACACCCAUGGAAACCUACAGCAUGUUGGUUCUCAAGCUCACCUUCCUUGGAGAUUUUUACUUUGGCCUAAUCAACAAAUAACAAACCCCAUUCAUAUGAAGGUUAUUUCUACCAGUUUAAUAUUUUAAGGAGGCAUUUAUGUAAGCUUUGCCUGCAACACA